This 66-nucleotide transfer RNA is filed under the name Compsilura concinnata. RNAcentral's name for it is "tRNA-Tyr". Lineage: Eukaryota; Metazoa; Arthropoda; Insecta; Diptera; Tachinidae. The record is from RNAcentral.
GAUUAAAUGGCUGAAAUAAUAAGCAAUAAAUUGUAAAUUUAUUUAUGAGAAUUAUCUCUUUAAUCA